Molecule: ribosomal RNA, 441 nt
Filed under: uncultured Bacillota bacterium
Lineage: Bacteria; Bacillati; Bacillota
Description: bacterial SSU rRNA
Rfam family: Bacterial small subunit ribosomal RNA
Source: RNAcentral
GGGCCCGCACAAGCAGCGGAGCAUGUGGCUUAAUUCGACGCAACGCGAAGAACCUUACCAAGGCUUGACAUCCCUUGACAGCGCUUGAAAGAGCGAAUCUCUUCGGAGCAAGGAGACAGGUGGUGCAUGGUUGUCGUCAGCUCGUGUCGUGAGAUGUUGGGUUAAGUCCCGCAACGAGCGCAACCCCUACAUUCAGUUACCAGCGGGUCAAGCCGGGGACUCUGGAUGGACUGCCGAGGCACAACUCGGAGGAAGGUGGGGACGACGUCAAAUCAUCAUGCCCCUUACGUCUUGGGCUGCACACGUGCUACAAUGGCCGUAACAGAGGGAAGCGAGAGGGUAACCUGGAGCGGAACCGAAAAAAGCGGUCUCAGUUCGGAUUGUGGGCUGCAACCGCCCACAUGAAGUCGGAGUUGCUAGUAAUCGCGAAUCAGCAUGUCG